UGGGGGAUAUUGCACAAUGGGCGAAAGCCUGAUGCAGCGACGCCGCGUGGGGGAUGAAGGCCUUCGGGUUGUAAACUUCUUUUGCUCUGAACAAGGCAUGCUAAUGGGUGUGUUGAGUGUAGGGGUUGAUUAGCGCCGGCUAACUACGUGCCAGCAGCCGCGGUAAUACGUAGGGCGCGAGCGUUGUCCGGAAUUAUUGGGCGUAAAGGGCUUGUAGGUGGCUGGUUGCGUCUGUCGUGAAAGCUCAUGGCUUAACUGUGGGUUUGCGGUGGGUACGGGCUGGCUUGAGUGCAGUAGGGGAGGCUGGAAUUCCUGGUGUAGCGGUGGAAUGCGCAGAUAUCAGGAGGAAUACCGGUGGCGAAGGCGGGUCUCUGGGCUGUUCCUGACACUGAGGAGCGAAAGCAUGGGGAGCGAACAGG
RNAcentral lists this ribosomal RNA (419 nucleotides) under bacterium. RNAcentral's name for it is "partial 16S ribosomal RNA". It matches the Rfam family "Bacterial small subunit ribosomal RNA", at positions 355 to 776 of the family's 1533-position model. The record is from RNAcentral.